RNAcentral lists this ribosomal RNA (109 nucleotides) under Chloroflexota bacterium. The record is from RNAcentral. Lineage: Bacteria; Bacillati; Chloroflexota.
UUGGAGCGACGGGGGUCCACCCGGUCCCAUCCCGAACCCGGCCGUUAAGCCCGUCAGCGCUGAUGGUACUUGGAGGGCAGCCUCCUGGGAGAGUAGGUCAUUGCCAAGA